UGUCGUGCAAGUUCCUACUGGGCCUCCACAGCAGGAUAUGUGGCUUGCACUUCAUCCUGAUCUGAAAUCAAAGCCCCUGUCUUAUGAUUCAAUAUUAAAUGGUGUGGAAAUUUUCAAGCUAAGCAGUCCAAAUGGUAAUCUUGCUGGACCAAAUCCAAUUCCUGCUCCUGAACAGGACAUCAAUCCCUCAAGGGCCAGACCAGCUUCUGGAUCUGGUCAUUCAAAGAGCCGAACAGCGAUUAUAGCUGGAGGUGUGAGUGGUGGGGUUGUUCUAGCCGUUGUCAUUGGUUUUUGUGUUCUUGCUGCAUCCAGACGCCAUAGACAAGGGAAGGAGGCAAGUUCAAGUGAUGGACCAUCUGGGUGGCUUCCUUUUUCUCUUCAUGGAAAUUCGAACUCUGCGGGUUCAGCCAAGACAAAUACUACAGUAAGUUCCUCUCUACAUUCAAACCUUUGCCGGCACUUCUCACUCGCUGAGAUCAAGUCUGCCACCACCAACUUUGAUGAGGCUUUGCUCCUUGGGGUGGGAGGUUUUGGUAAAGUUUACAAAGGAGAAGUUGAUGGUGGAACAACUAAGGUUGCAAUCAAGCGUGGUAAUCCACUCUCUGAGCAAGGAGUGCAUGAGUUCCAGACAGAAAUUGAAAUGCUUUCAAAACUUCGACAUCGUCACCUUGUUUCACUGAUUGGUUACUGUGAAGAAAAUACUGAGAUGAUUCUUGUUUAUGAUUACAUGGCUCAUGGAACAUUGCGUGAACAUUUAUACAAAACCCAAAAGCCCCCGUUGCCAUGGAAGCAAAGACUUGAAAUAUGCAUUGGGGCUGCUCGUGGUUUACACUAUCUCCACACUGGGGCAAAGCACACUAUUAUCCACCGUGAUGUUAAGACAACUAACAUUCUUUUGGAUGAGAAGUGGGUUGCCAAGGUCUCUGAUUUUGGGCUGUCAAAGACAGGCCCUGCUUUGGAUCACACUCAUGUCAGCACUGUUGUCAAAGGUAGUUUUGGCUAUCUGGAUCCAGAGUACUUCAGGAGGCAACAACUAACUGAAAAAUCCGACGUGUACUCAUUUGGAGUUGUGCUGUUUGAGAUCCUGUGUGCUCGACCAGCCUUGAACCCAACACUGCCUAAGGAACAGGUGAGCCUGGCAGAAUGGGCUGCUCAUUGCCAUAAGAAAGGCAUUCUUGAUCAGAUUCUUGACCCCUAUCUGAAGGGCAAGAUCACACCAGAAUGCUUCAAGAAGUUUGCUGAGACUGCAAUGAAGUGCGUCUCUGACCAAAGCAUUGACAGGCCUUCAAUGGGUGAUGUCCUCUGGAACCUAGAGUUCGCUUUGCAGCUACAAGAGAGUGCAGAGGAUGGUGGCAAGGGUAUUGUAGGUGCAGACGAUGAGGAGGUUCCAUCCAAUGUUGCCUAUAAAGGGAAAGCUCCUGAUGCUUCCCCCGGUUAUGAUGGUAUUGUGACUGAUUCAAGAAGCAGUGGAAUCAGCAUGAGCAUAGGCGGCCGGAGCCUCGCUAGCGAAGACUCUAUGGCUUAACACCAAGCGCUGUUAGCCAAACAAUGUUUUCUCGCAGAUCAUGAACCCAAAAGGACGAUGAGCUGAUCAAAAAUCCAGGAAGGCAGUUUGCAAUCUACUGUCAAUCGUCAAGUGUGUUUGGCAUUGCGGUAGCUAUUAUGGUUAUGAUUUAAAAAAAAUUGUUUUAUAAAAAGUAUUUUUAGUUGAGAUUAGUUUGAAAAUGGUUAGAAUUGAGGUUGAAGAAAAAUAAUUUUAAUGUGUUUGAUUAUGAAUGCUUUUGAAAUUGAGAUUAUAAAAUAAUUUUAAAAAAUAUAUAUUAAUAUUGAUAGUUUUUAAUUUAAAUUUUAUGGAUUUAACUAUUACUAUUACAUCAUGAAAUAAAUCACAUUUAAAAAAUUACUUUAACAAAAAACUAUCUACAAUUCCAUUACGUAUAAAAUUCACAAGAACUAUAAAAUUAGAUAAAAUAUUAUCAAGAAUAAAAUUAAGAUUACACUACGAGUAAAUUUAAUUUACCUUAAACUAAUUUAAAAAAAACAAAAAAAAUUUUAUUGUUCACGUAGUGAAAUUAAUUAACUAUAUUGGUAAUAAAUAAAUAAAAACUUGUUCAGCGAACAGUGGAGGCAUGCUCCACUGUUCACUGAACAGUCCAUACCUGCACUGUUUUUUUUUUAAAAAAAAAAAAUGUUUAGUGAACAAUGGAGGCAUGCUCCACUGUUCACUGAACAGUGGAGCUGCCAUGCAAAAAGCAGCAAUUUGUUGCUUUUCAUUUUCCUGCGGCGAGAACACAAUAAAUGGAGGGACUCACGCACAGUAAAUAACUUUUUUUAUUUAACCAAACACUGAGGUAGUGUGUUUGUGAAGAAACGCAACUUCUACCUCGUAGCCAAAUGGGGCUCAUUUAACAAACUUAAUGUGGCUUUUUUUUUCUUUAGUUUUCUCUUGUCUAAUUCAUUUAGUUACCUUUUCCCCUCGUUCUGAUAUGUUUUGAUCAGAUCAGUUACUAUAAUUUGUAUCUACAAUUUACCUGAAGAGUGUAAAAUAAAGUUUUCUUUGUCAAUGCUGUGCAGCGAGUACCUACCAGGAGUCUGCAUAUAUGUGCACAGAAGCAAAAUCAACACCAAGAACCUGAUGGUUCCUGAUAAAGUCGGUUCCAACUUGCGUAGCAUAUGAGUUUGGAUUGAACUGAGCCCUAUCAGGAGCCGAUGGUCCAUAAAAUCCCUCCAAUCCAAUCUCUAGAGGGAUCUGAGGUGCAUCGAGGUUCAUUCAUCAGCUCCCAAGCAAAUAUUGUAGGGUCAUCCUUGUAGGUUAUGUUCGUGAUCGUAUUGACUCUAUUCAAUACCGCCUGCAUUCAGUGAAUACAGAAACUGUAAGUAGCCUGGCAACCUUUGAUUGUCCAAACACAUAACCUGUCUGAUUUAUCAACUAUCAUAUGCUUUUUGUUUCUGUCCUGUUUUUGGGUCAAAUUAACAUAUUUGUGCUCCUUUGCAGUCUCAAAGUUCCCAUUAACAACUGGAGAAAACCAUCUUAACUUUGAAGUAGCAAAAGGUAGCUCCCAAGGAAUCUUAGGUCCUGCUUUAAUCAUAACAACGUAUUUGAUAUCAUUAUGUAUCCUGGUAUGCCUUCAAGAGUUUAUAUUUUGCAUCAUUUUGCUUUGGUUUUAUUGAAUCAAAAACCUAAUAUUGGAUUAAUCAAACUUGAAAUUCAAAAUUUUCAUGGAAGAUAUGAGCUGAAUUCAGCCAUCAGAAGCUUAGAUUUCGAUCCCUUGUUUUUUUAUAAUUAAAAAAAAAAGUCUACCAUGCAAAAUAUUGUAUCUUAGCCCAGUUUUUUUUUUCUUUUUAGAACUAUUUUUGUUGGCCCAUUAUGAAGCACUCAUCUUGCAUGGCUCUGGUUUUUUUUCUAUUUCUAUCUGGGCCUUGCUAGAAUUGUCACCCAAAAGUUCAGGAUUUUUAUUAUUUUUCUUGUUCUUAUCAAAUUAAUGCACCCCUGUACUACCACUUGAAGGUUGAUUUAAUCAAAUUCCAUUGACUAGUUGAUGGAGUCAAAUCCAAGUGAUAAAUGUUGAGUAAUUUUUAAAUAAAAAACCAUAUAAUUUUAAAGUUGACCUAAUAAAACAAUUACCCAAACCUUAAAUGGGACUUAUUAUUGAGACUCGUGCGCACCUGUGCUCUGCCCAUUAUUAACAAUAUCAAUUAACAUGAAAUAUAGGUACUAGGGAGAGGGUUUUUCACGGUAACAAUUGGUAUAAUUUACUGUGGAUUCCUAUAAUGAGAUUACAAUUUUAUCAUUGAGUGGAGAAAAUGGAAGGCUUUAUAAUAAAGGUAGUUUGGUCUUCAUUUGGUCUUCAAAACUAUUGACAAAGGUUUUCGCUCAUAUGUUUUUUUCUUUUAAUUCGGUCUUUAUUCUUUAAUUUUUAAUUUUUUUUUUGUUUUUUUUGUUAAAAUUCUGUUAAUUUUCAAUUUCAUUCUUCAUUCAAAGUAUAUGUUGUCUUAUUUUUUAUAAUUUGAUUGUUUUUUUUCUUGUGUUAAAGUUAUUUUUCAAUUUCAUUUAACCCUCCAAUUAAAAUUUUUUGUUUGCCCUCAAAUUUAUUUUUUAUUUUGAUUUUUAUCAUUAUUCUUUUAAUUAUAAUUUUUUUAGAUCCUUUUGUGUAUUUGAUUUUUUUUUCUUCUUAUUUUAUCAUUCAACAUUUGAUUUGUUAGAGAUUAUGCUUUAUAUUGUUUUUCAUUUCUAAUGCUUCUGGUUUAAUGACCCGAGUCAAAUUUAAAAAUAUAAUGUCGUUUGAUAUUUUUUCUAGAUCAUUUUCUUUUAUUAUCUUAUCAUUUUACAUUAUUUUAAUUGAUUUUGUGAUUAUCUUAAAAAAAGUUUUAUAAAUUUAUCCCGGUCUCAUGAUCUAGAUCACUAAUUUUGCAGGCUUUUUUUCAAUACAAGUUUUUUUAAAAAAUAUUUUGUUUGUAUUUGAAUUUUUAAGAUAUUAUUCUAAUUUAGCUAUAAUUAUUUUUUUGUUUAUAAAAAUGAACUUUUUUUCAAAAUAAAAAAUAUUUAUUUUUAAAUAAAAUUUCUGAUAUGUUUGGCCUUGUGUAAUAUAUUUUUUAGGGUAUGGGUUUAUUUAAUUAGUUUUAUUUUUGUUUUUAUUUCUAUUAUCAUUUAUUGAUUUAAAUAAAUAAGUCUCACAAACACAACCAAGUAAAUAUCUUAUUUUAUAUAAUUAAAUAUCUUAAUUUACAUUUAUUUUUUAAAAAAUUCAAUUUAUUUUUUAGUUAUCGUUAACUAUUUGUUUUUUUACUUUAAUAAGAUGCAUACAUAUGCAUUUUGAUAUAUGCUUUGAUUUUUUAUAUAUAAUAAAAUAUACUAAAAUAGUCUAUAUACCUGAUUUUUUUUUAAAUAAAAUUUAUACCCCGCAGAUCACGGGUUAAAUAGCUAGUCAAGGAUUAAAGUUAAUUUGCUGAGUGCUAUUUGCUCAAGUUGUACAUCAAUUUUAUUUUUAUUUUUUCCUUUGGCAGGCCCAUGAUUAAUAGAAACUUAGCCAAUUUGUUCAAUAUUUUACAUAUAGCGUACAAAAAAAAUAAAAAAAGGUCAUUAGUCAAUAUUACUUACACUACAAGUUAAAAAUAAAUAUAUAAAUAAUCAUAAAAGUUGAAAACCACUUUCACCUACUAUUUAUCAUCAUAUGCACAAUAAAUAAAUAAAUAAAAACUUUUCGUGGUUCCUAUCAAUUGCAAGAGGGUGUAGCACUCAUGGAUGAUGACGACUGGCUUGCAUGUCUAAGAGGAUAUUUAGAAGUGUGGUUAUUGUUACUUUUUAAAUUGUUUUUUAUUUAGAAAAGCAUAUUAAUAAUAUUUUUUUAUUUUUAAAAAUUAUUUUUGAGAUCAGUACAUCAAAAUAAUUUGAAAAUAUCAAAAAUAUAUUAAUUUAAAACAAAAUAAAAAUAAAAAAAUUUCAAAUUUUUUCAGAAACGCUUUUGAAAAGCACUCCAAACAGGCUCUAAAAAGAUUGAAUUUUCAUUUUCCUACAUUCAUGCAGUUUUUCCAAGUGUAUUUAAUAUUGUGUUGUUUUUUUAUUAUGGUUUUAAAAAAUAAAUUUUAAAAAAUUAUAAAUUAUAAUAUUUUUUAUAGUUAAGGUUUUAAAAAGAAGUUUUAAAUAUAAUGUACAUAUGAAUUUAAGUGUGUAUUAAUUAACAAAACACUUUCAAAAUUAUGAUUUAAACAAGAUUUAAUUUUAACCACACUUCACCAUAUUAUUAAAUAAUUUUAUAUCGGCAGAUAUUAAUAGUAAUAUUAAUCUAUUAAAAUUUAUUUAUAUAUAAAAAAACAGGGUUUAAUGCAUUGAAUUUUAUUCAAGAUUCUAAAAAAAAAAUGCCAAACAACUAAUCAUCCAUAGAAAAAUGAUAAAGGAGCAAAUAAUUCAUCACAGCUUGGUGGGGGGAGGGCCUCGAAAGACCAAACGCGUUAAAACGGUCUGAUUUGAACGCGUUUUAGAGAAUCUCUCCCUCUGCUACGACCCCUUCAUCAGUGAUCUGUCAUCCAAUCACAAUUUCAUUUUAAACCGUAAAUGGCAAAUACUGUAAUUACUACCGCCUCCAAGGUUAUUUACGUCGUUUUAUCUAAACAGGCUAGCACUAAGGGAAACUACAAAAACAAUAAAUAAAACAUGAGGAGACUUCGGUCCCCUAACUAUCUACGUAUUUUCAAUUUAGUUCUCAAACAAAACAUUUUUACGAUCUCCCACCCCACUUCUCUGAUAUCCCAAAUCAAAUUCCCUCUCCUAUCAUAUUAUUAAACCGACCCGUCAAACUAAUAACUCACUAGAUUAUCAAUUUAAAUAGUGGAUUAUUAAUAUUGUAAUAUAGAUAUAUUGUGUGGUAUUAAGCCUAAAAUUAAAAAUAACAAAGUGGUAGGUGUUUAAUUUUUGAAGGAGUUAUCAAAUUUUAAAAUAUUUUAUCUCAAAUUUAAAUUUUAUUUUUUUGAAUUUUGUUUUUUACAUGAUGGACUCAACAAACUAGGUUUAAUUAGUUUAACCGGUUUUAUUAAAUCCUAUGAAUUUAUUAUUUUUGAUAGUUAGAACUUAAGCUUUUAAAUUAGGUCUUGCCCACCCUACUAAGAAAAGUUUAAUUAGAAACUAAAUUGUUAAUUAGUUAAUAGUACGAGGACUAAUUUGAAGUUACAACAAAAAUCCAUUAAGAAGUUAUUACAUCAUAAUCAUAUGAAGAAACCCCCCACAAAACUAGCAAGCGACUUCAAAAAAAUCAAUUAACUGGCAAGUGGCAGCUACUAAAAGCCAACACAAGUUGGUCUCUUUCUUCUAGUUUCUUCACCUUCAUAUUCAGGCGAUCUGUCCGAAUUGACCCAGUGAGUCCGUUUCUCUUUCAGGUUCUUUUCAGCUGAGUGUUUCUAAGAAGGUAAACUUUCACCUUCACCGACUCUAAUCUCCGUUGUUUUGUUCCCCUAGAGCUCAAGAAAUAUGGCUUGAGUUCUCUUUCUUUCUCUCUCUUGGAGUCCUUUAUUAGUAGUGCUUCCUUUCCUUAAAUGUCUUUGGGAUUCCAGUGCUGGGAUCUUAGCUUCUUGUAAUCUGGUUUUUAUCUAGUUUUUCUUGUUUAGGAACUCGGUUUUUGGUGUUUGUUUAGCUAGUCCUUGAUCUGGUCACAUAAAGGUUUGAGCUUGAUUUGAGUGCUUAAUCACCUAGAUCUCGGCUUUAUUUAUCCUUGUCAAGCUUCAGUUUUGAGCUUGCUUUGUUUCUGUUUUGGGUGUUGAUUUCGUGGGUUCUGAUAAAAAGAGACUUUAUAGGCUGUUUUGUUGAGGUUGAGUCCAUGGGAAGCAUGGAUAAGUGUUUCUGUGCUUCUGUUCUUGUUCUUCUUUGCUUGUUAUCGUCAAUUCAAGUUAUUUUUGCUGCAAAUUAUGUUCCCACUGAGAAAACCCUCCUAGACUGUGGGGCCAACUCCGAUGAAACUGAUUUGGAUCGUCGAGUUUGGACCUCAGAUGAGGGUUCUUCAUUCUUGUCUUCCUCUGGAAAAUCAUCCACAGCCACUGCUUCCACUCAAGAUCCUGCCGUUCCCCCAGUUCCCUAUCUAACAGCGCGCAUUUUUCAGUCAAGUUUUACUUAUAGUUUCCCAGUGGUUUCUGGUCAUAAAUUCGUUCGUUUGUAUUUCUAUCCUUCUUCAUACAAUGGCCUUAAUGCGUCCGAUGCUCUCUUUUCUGUUACUGCUGGGUCUUAUACACUUCUUAGCAAUUUUAGUGUUGCUCAAACCACGGAUGCUUUGAAUUAUGUUUCAAUCAUGAAGGAGUAUUUGAUCAAUGUGAAUGGUGAUACAUUGAACAUAACUUUUAGUCCGUCUUCAAAUCCUUCAAGUGCUUAUGCAUUUGUAAACGGGAUUGAAAUUGUGUCAAUGCCGGACAUUUAUAGUAAUGCUAAUGGAGUGAUGAAUGUCGGCCAAGGUGUCAGCCAAGGUGUCCCAUAUGUCAUUGACAAUACUACUGCCCUUGAGAAUGUAUAUAGGUUAAACGUGGGAGGUAAUAGCAUCACCCCAUCUGGUGAUACAGGUCUAUUUCGAUCCUGGUCUGAUGAUCAAAUAUAUCUUUAUGGGUCAGCAUUUGGUGUUCCACAGAGUGCUGAUCCAAAUCUGACGAUUAGAUAUCCUCCAGGAAUGCCCUCAUAUGUUGCCCCAGAUAAUGUGUAUCUCACUGCUAGAUCGAUGGGGCCAGCUUCUAAUGUCAACGUGAAUUACAAUUUGACUUGGAUAUUUAGCGUGGACUCUGGUUUCAAUUACUUGGUUAGGCUCCAUUUCUGUGAGGUUUCAAAUAUAACCAAGAUCAAUCAGAGGGUAUUUGACAUCUUUCUCAAUAAUCAAACUGCUGAAGAAGCAGCGGAUGUCAUUGCCUGGGCAGGGGGGAAUGGGAACAAUGGAGUUCCAGUUUUUAAAGAUUAUGUCGUGCUAGUUCCUACUGGGCCUCCACAGCAGGAUAUGUGGCUUGCACUUCAUCCUGAUCUGAAAUCAAAGCCCCAGUAUUAUGAUUCAAUAUUAAAUGGUGUGGAAAUUUUCAAGCUAAGCAGUCCAAAUGGUAACCUUGCUGGACCAAAUCCAAUUCCUGCUCCUGAACAGGACAUCAUUGAUCCCUCAAGGGCCAGACCAGCUUCUGGAUCUGGUCAUUCAAAGAGCCGAACAGCGAUUAUAGCUGGAGGUGUGAGUGGCGGGGUUGUUCU
Molecule: long non-coding RNA, 8698 nt
Filed under: Populus tremula
Lineage: Eukaryota; Viridiplantae; Streptophyta; Magnoliopsida; Malpighiales; Salicaceae
Description: long non-coding RNA (PTRE_LNC001280)
Source: RNAcentral